Lonchura striata (white-rumped munia) is the source of this 731-nucleotide non-coding RNA. Lineage: Eukaryota; Metazoa; Chordata; Aves; Passeriformes; Estrildidae. The record is from RefSeq and is a predicted model, not a curated record.
UUUUUCUCUACCCAUUUUUUUUUGUGCAUCAAAACUUGGUAGGAUGCCUGCUCAUGGAGAAACAGGAGGCAAGAGUUUAAGCAUCAGCAGCUGUGGGAAUGACCUACAACAAAUGGGACAUUUGUUCCAGACAUUCUGCUGGUGAAAUGUAUGUUCUGAAAGCAAUGCCUGAAUCAAGGAUGGAAAUUAUCCUCUGGUUGUGAGAAACACACACAGCCCAGCCCUGCCCUUCCUCAAGAAACUCCCUGACAGCUGCUGCAGCUUUGCUGUGCUGUCCCUCUGCCCCGUGCCACGCACAGCUGUGUUGAGAGAAAUUUAUAAGAAAUAAGUGAUAGAUAGUAAAUAACUCCUCUCUGAGCUUGCAGCAGCCUCAGAAUCCUCCAUGGCAGCAGAGCCAAAAGGUGAUGUCCUGUGCUGUUACCAGCUGGCUCAGGUAAAAAUCUGCUGUGAUAUGCAAAAAUAAAAAAAGGAGAGGAUUCUGGUUUAUAGCUGGAACCACAGUCUGCCACUGGAAGACAUUUAUUACAAGACAUUUAUUACAAGUGGCUCAGACACUACUUGCCCUCCUGAUUUUGAGUUGUCCCUUUCUCUGCAGUGGAAUUCAUUGAUUUCAUCAGAGCUACUCACAUUCUUAAGUACAAAUGGUUCUAAGUGAGGGUGAGAAAAUUGUACCUUAAUCCCUAGACUCUUUUAGACCUUUUUGUCCAUCCCCUAAAUUUUUUAUGCCACCA